RNAcentral lists this ribosomal RNA (464 nucleotides) under uncultured Sphingobacteriales bacterium. Its description in RNAcentral is "bacterial SSU rRNA". It matches the Rfam family "Bacterial small subunit ribosomal RNA", at positions 336 to 797 of the family's 1533-position model. The record is from RNAcentral. Lineage: Bacteria; Pseudomonadati; Bacteroidota; Sphingobacteriia; Sphingobacteriales.
UUCCUACGGGGGGCUGCAGUAGGGAAUAUUGGGCAAUGGAGGCAACUCUGACCCAGCCAUGCCGCGUGCAGGAUGACGGCCCUCUGGGUUGUAAACUGCUUUUAUACGGGAAGAAAAAAUACUACGUGUAGUAUACUGACGGUACCGUAAGAAUAAGGAUCGGCUAACUCCGUGCCAGCAGCCGCGGUAAUACGGAGGAUCCAAGCGUUGUCCGGAUUUAUUGGGUUUAAAGGGUGCGUAGGCGGAUCUUUAAGUCAGUGGUGAAAGCCUGCAGCUUAACUGUAGAAUUGCCAUUGAAACUGAAGAUCUUGAAUGUGGUUAAAGUAGGCGGAAUGUAUCAUGUAGCGGUGAAAUGCUUAGAUAUGAUACAGAACACCGAUAGCGAAGGCAGCUUGCUGAACCAUUAUUGACGCUGAGGCACGAAAGCGUGGGGAGCGAACAGGAUUAGAUACCCGAGUAGUCGU